Molecule: ribosomal RNA, 799 nt
Filed under: Kribbella sp. YIM 61700
Lineage: Bacteria; Bacillati; Actinomycetota; Actinomycetes; Propionibacteriales; Kribbellaceae
Description: bacterial SSU rRNA
Rfam family: Bacterial small subunit ribosomal RNA
Source: RNAcentral
GCUUACACAUGCAAGUCGAGCGGUAAGGCCCCUUCGGGGGUACACGAGCGGCGAACGGGUGAGUAACACGUGAGCAACCUACCCUCAACUUUGGGAUAAGCCUCGGAAACGGGGUCUAAUACCGGAUAAUACUGACCGUCUCCUGGUGGUUGGUUGAAAGUUCUGGCGGUUGGGGAUGGGCUCGCGGCCUAUCAGCUUGUUGGUGGGGUAAUGGCCUACCAAGGCGUCGACGGGUAGCCGGCCUGAGAGGGCGACCGGCCACACUGGGACUGAGACACGGCCCAGACUCCUACGGGAGGCAGCAGUGGGGAAUAUUGCGCAAUGGACGAAAGUCUGACGCAGCAACGCCGCGUGAGGGAUGACGGCCUUCGGGUUGUAAACCUCUUUCAGCAGGGACGAAGCGAGAGUGACGGUACCUGCAGAAGAAGGACCGGCCAACUACGUGCCAGCAGCCGCGGUAAUACGUAGGGUCCGAGCGUUGUCCGGAAUUAUUGGGCGUAAAGGGCUCGUAGGCGGUUCGUCACGUCGGGAGUGAAAACUCGGGGCUUAACCCCGAGCCUGCUUCCGAUACGGGCAGACUAGAGGUAGGCAGGGGAGAGCGGAACUCCUGGUGUAGCGGUGGAAUGCGCAGAUAUCAGGAAGAACACCGGUGGCGAAGGCGGCUCUCUGGGCCUUACCUGACGCUGAGGAGCGAAAGCGUGGGUAGCGAACAGGAUUAGAUACCCUGGUAGUCCACGCCGUAUACGUUGGGCGCUAGGUGUGGGGGACAUUCCACGUCCUCCGUGCCGCAGCUAACGCA